CCUACGGGAGGCUGCAGUGGGGAAUAUUGGACAAUGGGGGCAACCCUGAUCCAGCCAUGCCGCGUGUGUGAAGAAGGCCCUCGGGUUGUAAAGCACUUUCAGUGAGGAAGAACGCCUGGUGGUUAAUACCCAUCAGGAAAGACAUCACUCACAGAAGAAGCACCGGCUAACUCCGUGCCAGCAGCCGCGGUAAUACGGAGGGUGCGAGCGUUAAUCGGAAUUACUGGGCGUAAAGCGCGCGUAGGUGGCUUGAUAAGCCGGUUGUGAAAGCCCCGGGCUCAACCUGGGAACGGCAUCCGGAACUGUCAAGCUAGAGUGCAGGAGAGGAAGGUAGAAUUCCCGGUGUAGCGAUGAAAUGCGUAGAGAUCGGGAGGAAUACCAGUGGCGAAGGCGGCCUUCUGGACUGACACUGACACUGAGGUGCGAAAGCGUGGGUAGCAAACAGGAUUAGAUACCCCGGUAGUC
Molecule: ribosomal RNA, 465 nt
Filed under: Vreelandella stevensii
Lineage: Bacteria; Pseudomonadati; Pseudomonadota; Gammaproteobacteria; Oceanospirillales; Halomonadaceae
Description: partial 16S ribosomal RNA
Rfam family: Bacterial small subunit ribosomal RNA
Source: RNAcentral